This 278-nucleotide ribosomal RNA is filed under the name Escherichia coli. RNAcentral's name for it is "partial 23S ribosomal RNA". It matches the Rfam family "Bacterial large subunit ribosomal RNA", at positions 1291 to 1572 of the family's 2925-position model. The record is from RNAcentral. Lineage: Bacteria; Pseudomonadati; Pseudomonadota; Gammaproteobacteria; Enterobacterales; Enterobacteriaceae.
CGAAUGCUGACAUAAGUAACGAUAAAGCGGGUGAAAAGCCCGCUCGCCGGAAGACCAAGGGUUCCUGUCCAACGUUAAUCGGGGCAGGGUGAGUCGACCCCUAAGGCGAGGCCGAAAGGCGUAGUCGAUGGGAAACAGGUUAAUAUUCCUGUACUUGGUGUUACUGCGAAGGGGGGACGGAGAAGGCUAUGUUGGCCGGGCGACGGUUGUCCCGGUUUAAGCGUGUAGGCUGGUUUUCCAGGCAAAUCCGGAAAAUCAAGGCUGAGGCGUGAUGACGA